AACGAACGCUGGCGGCAGGCUUAACACAUGCAAGUCGAACGCCCCGCAAGGGGAGUGGCAGACGGGUGAGUAACGCGUGGGAACGUGCCCUUCGCUUCGGAAUAGCCCCGGGAAACUGGGAGUAAUACCGAAUACGCCGUAUUGGGAAAGAUUUAUCGGCGAAGGAUCGGCCCGCGUUAGAUUAGCUAGUUGGCGGUGUAAUGGACCACCAAGGCUACGAUCUAUAGCUGGUCUGAGAGGAUGGUCAGCCACACUGGGACGGAGACACGGCCCAGACUCUUACGGGAGGCAGCAGUGGGGAAUCUUGGACAAUGGGCGCAAGCCUGAUCCAGCCAUGCCGCGUGAGUGAAGAAGGCCUUAGGGCUGUAAAACUCUUUCGCCGGAGAAGAUAAUGACGGUAUCCGGAGAAGAAGCCCCGGCUAACUUCGUGCCAGCCGCCGCCGUAA
This 446-nucleotide ribosomal RNA is filed under the name uncultured bacterium. RNAcentral's name for it is "partial 16S ribosomal RNA". It matches the Rfam family "Bacterial small subunit ribosomal RNA", at positions 29 to 523 of the family's 1533-position model. The record is from RNAcentral.